RNAcentral lists this ribosomal RNA (352 nucleotides) under uncultured bacterium. RNAcentral's name for it is "partial 16S ribosomal RNA". It matches the Rfam family "Bacterial small subunit ribosomal RNA", at positions 338 to 701 of the family's 1533-position model. The record is from RNAcentral.
CCUACGGGUGGCAGCAGUAGGGAAUGUUCGGCAAUGGGGGGAACCCUGACCGAGCAACGCCGCGUGAAAGAAGAAGUUAUUCGUAAUGUAAAGUUCUUUUAACAGGGAAGAAAGAGAAAUUUGACGGGACCUGAAGAAUAAGCUCCGGCUAACUACGUGCCAGCAGCCGCGGUAAUACGUCGGGAGCGAGCGUUAUCCGGAAUUAUUGGGCGUAAAGGGUGCGUAGAGGGCAUAGUAAGUCUUUUGUAAAAAUGCUGGGCUCAACCCAGUAGGGCAAAAGAUACUGCAAAGCUAGAGUAUGCCCGAGGCAAGUGGAACUACCUGUGUAGCGGUCCCAUGCGUACAUUUCUGU